UACGGGGGGGGCAAGCGUUGUUCGGAAUUACUGGGCGUAAAGGGCUCGUAGGUGGCCAACUAAGUCAGACGUGAAAUCCCUCGGCUUAACCGGGGAACUGCGUCUGAUACUGGCAGGCUUGAAUCCGGGAGAGGGAUGUGGAAUUCCAGGUGUAGCGGUGAAAUGCGUAGAUAUCUGGAGGAACACCGGUGGCGAAGGCGGCAUCCUGGACCAACACUGACGCUGAGUGAGCGAAAGCCAGGGGAGCAAACGGG
This 254-nucleotide ribosomal RNA is filed under the name uncultured bacterium. RNAcentral's name for it is "partial 16S ribosomal RNA". It matches the Rfam family "Bacterial small subunit ribosomal RNA", at positions 524 to 776 of the family's 1533-position model. The record is from RNAcentral.